GCCGGAGUGAUGGAAUGGCAGACGUGCCUGACUCAAAAUCAGGUGGGGUAACCCGUGCCGGUUCAAGUCCGGCCUCCGGCACCA
Molecule: transfer RNA, 84 nt
Filed under: Clostridiales bacterium
Lineage: Bacteria; Bacillati; Bacillota; Clostridia; Eubacteriales
Description: tRNA-Leu
Rfam family: tRNA
About the family: Transfer RNA (tRNA) molecules are approximately 80 nucleotides in length. Their secondary structure includes four short double-helical elements and three loops (D, anti-codon, and T loops).
Source: RNAcentral